Ailuropoda melanoleuca (giant panda) is the source of this 1442-nucleotide long non-coding RNA. RefSeq lists it as uncharacterized. The record is from RefSeq and is a predicted model, not a curated record. The transcript has 6 exons. NCBI's taxonomy places the organism in Eukaryota, Metazoa, Chordata, Mammalia, Carnivora, Ursidae.
CUCCUCUCUGCUCUACCCUGCUCAGGUCCCAGGAGGAUGACAUUGGACUGCUCAGUGGGCUCUCUUCUCCCUAGCUUCCAUCCCAUGCUUUCCGCUCAGGCCAGAAGAGUUCCCAACUCCCUUGAAAUUUCCUGGAUGAUAACACUGUCUUUUGUUGUGAAGAGGUGACCCUUGCUGAGCUCCUGGAUGGGGGCGGGUUACCAGAACGACCGAGCUCUGAUUAGAAGCUUAGGAUUUUCAGCCGCACCUCUCACCCUCACCCCCCAUUCUCCAGGAAGGGGAGAAGCGUUAAAGAUGAAGUUAAUGAUUGGUUAUGUCAAUGUGAUAAAGCCUCCAUAACAAUCCCUAAAGUAGGGCUUCCAAGAGCUUCUGCAUUGGUGAGCACAUGUUGGUGUUGGGAGAGUGGCACAUGCAGAGGGCAUGGACACCCCACAAACUUGCCCUAAGCUUUUCUUCCAUCUGGAGGCUCAUCUACGUCACCUGUCAUAACCUUUUCUAAUCGAUUGGUAAAUGGGUUAUCACGGGAAAAGAAGGAAAAGAUUGGCAAUCACAGAAGAGAAAAGGGGAACAAGGCACCUGUGCCAUGGUGGACCUGGGGGUUAUGGUCAGUUCUCAGAUGGAAGUUCCUACGGGGAAGACAAGAGUCUCACGCAACAAAAGAAAACAACAAAAACACAGACAUCUGAUCAAUUGUUGAGGGAAGUGCUUAUUAAGCACCACUGCAAUAGCACUGGGAGUCAAGGAGCCCUGGGACCUUCAGUGUCCGCACAACAGAGAAAUCCCUACCUCAGAACCUUUGUGCAAACCUGCUGCGUCCUUUGCAAGUUCCUUCACAACCCCUUCCAUGUACAGUUCUACUCAACCUUGAAGACUUUCUAACGAUGAACAUUGGUCUGCUUAGAUUGACAUUAGCUGGACACAUGGCUUCUCAGAAAGACUACAUUUUGGAGCCUCCCUUGAGGUUAGGUGUGACCAACCAUGAAAAGAAAGAAGAAGAAGCAACAAGUGAACUGUGGUUUUGCGACCUGACAAUCAAGACAAUACUGAUGCCAUUGCAGAAAUGACAAAGGAAAUACUAGAUCAGGAGCUGAGUUUUAGAGCUGGGUUCUAUGAAAUGAAUUGGGUUUGAGUCAUGAAGUAAUUAAAACAAUUCAAGAAAAAUGAAAGUCUAAUGUUUGGGACACAAUUCAGUGAUAGAGAUAAAGAUGAUAAAGUUAUUCUAAUAUGCAAAUGUUAAUUGACACUGGGGAAUGAAUUAAGUCUCUUGGGGGGAGACUACAAAAACACAGGUUAGAGAAAAAAGAUCUGAACUCUGAUGAAUGCCCCCCAAUUAGGAGAUCAGAUGUAAGAGACCAGAGAAGAAGGCAAAGAAGAAAUGGUCCUAAGAGUAUGAGAAGCUCCCCCACUGUAGUAUCUCAGAGCCAAGGGAGGAAAACUUCAAG